CAUCCUGUCACCGGAAAAGCGAGCAAAAUCGGGGCACCCAGAAUCACUGCCCUUUUCCUCGAGAGCCGUCAAACAAGAAACAACAAAACCGAGCCAUGCAUGCCUGACGAGAGAACGAAUACGUUCGACACGUGUAUCCACGUAGCAGAUCCCACGCCCAAACCGCACGACAACUCGGCGCGCGCAACGAAGAGUUGACAGUGGCAUGCUACGAUUUGACCAAGCAAACACAUGCGUCUGCAUCAUGCAUCAAUCAGCACAGCCGGGCAUAAAUUUCGAUCGAAGCCAUAGCAAGGACGAACACGCGCGGCCGGCGAUCUCAACGCUGAUCGGCCCCGAUCGCUUGCCCGUACAACGUCACGUACACGUACAUCAGAGAUAGGAAGAGGAUCAUCGCGAGAGGAGCGGCCAGGCUGCAGACGCCCUCGCGCCGGUCCUGCAGCGUCCGCGCCUCGAUCAGGUUGAGCUGCAGGGUGAGCAGGUCCAGGCCCAGCGAGCACUGGCGCACGCCCGCCUUGAUCUCGCGCAGCUCCCGGCGGAGCCUCUCCGCUCCUCCCUUCCUCGCCAUCCUCCCGCCUCCCGGCGCGGGGACGCCCAUGACGACGCCUGACGACGCGGACUGCUCCAUGGGUUGCGGAAAAUGAGUAU
RNAcentral lists this long non-coding RNA (648 nucleotides) under Hordeum vulgare. Its description in RNAcentral is "long non-coding RNA (HVUL_LNC001276)". Lineage: Eukaryota; Viridiplantae; Streptophyta; Magnoliopsida; Poales; Poaceae. The record is from RNAcentral.